RNAcentral lists this ribosomal RNA (433 nucleotides) under uncultured bacterium. RNAcentral's name for it is "partial 16S ribosomal RNA". It matches the Rfam family "Bacterial small subunit ribosomal RNA", at positions 29 to 507 of the family's 1533-position model. The record is from RNAcentral.
AACGAACGCUGGCGGCAUGCCUAACACAUGCAAGUCGAACGAGACCUUCGGGUCUAGUGGCGCACGGGUGCGUAACGCGUGGGAACCUGCCCUUAGGUUCGGAAUAACUCCCCGAAAGGGGUGCUAAUACCGGAUAAUGUCUCCGGACCAAAGAUUUAUCGCCUUUGGAUGGGCCCGCGUUGGAUUAGCUAGUUGGUAGGGUAAAAGCCUACCAAGGCGACGAUCCAUAGCUGGUCUGUGAGGAUGAUCAGCCACACUGGGACUGAGACACGGCCCAGACUCCUGCGUGACGCAGCAGUGGGGAAUAUUGGACAAUGGGCGACAGCCUGAUCCCGCAAUGCCGCGUGAUUGAUGAAGGACUUAGGGUUGUAAAGCUCUUUUACCCGGGAUGAUAAUGACAGUACCGGGAGAAUAAGCUCCGGCUAACUCCGUG